AUUGAACGCUGGCGGCAGGCCUAACACAUGCAAGUCGAACGGUAACAGGAAGAAGCUUGCUUCUUUGCUGCCGAGUGGCGGACGGGUGAGUAAUGUCUGGGAAACUGCCUGAUGGAGGGGGAUAACUACUGGAAACGGUAGCUAAUACCGCAUAACGUCGCAAGACCAAAGAGGGGGACCUUCGGGCCUCUUGCCAUCGGAUGUGCCCAGAUGGGAUUAGCUAGUAGGUGGGGUAACGGCUCACCUAGGCGACGAUCCCUAGCUGGUCUGAGAGGAUGACCAGCCACACUGGAACUGAGACACGGUCCAGACUCCUACGGGAGGCAGCAGUGGGGAAUAUUGCACAAUGGGCGCAAGCCUGAUGCAGCCAUGCCGCGUGUAUGAAGAAGGCCUUCGGGUUGUAAAGUACUUUCAGCGGGGAGGAAGGGAGUAAAGUUAAUACCUUUACUCAUUGACGUUACCCGCAGAAGAAGCACCGGCUAACUCCGUG
Molecule: ribosomal RNA, 490 nt
Filed under: uncultured bacterium
Lineage: Bacteria
Description: partial 16S ribosomal RNA
Rfam family: Bacterial small subunit ribosomal RNA
Source: RNAcentral